RNAcentral lists this ribosomal RNA (253 nucleotides) under uncultured bacterium. Its description in RNAcentral is "partial 16S ribosomal RNA". It matches the Rfam family "Bacterial small subunit ribosomal RNA", at positions 524 to 776 of the family's 1533-position model. The record is from RNAcentral.
UACAGAGGUCCCAAGCGUUGUUCGGAUUCAUUGGGCGUAAAGGGUGCGUAGGUGGCGCCGUAAGUCGGGUGUGAAAUUUCGGAGCUUAACUCCGAAACUGCAUUCGAUACUGCGGUGCUCGAGGACUGGAGAGGAGACUGGAAUUCAUGGUGUAGCAGUGAAAUGCGUAGAGAUCAUGAGGAAGACCAGUGGCGAAGGCGGGGCUCUGGACAGUUCCUGACACUGAGGCACGAAGGCCAGGGGAGCAAACGGG